GAGAGCUAUAUAGCAGCGGCAGCGCUCUGGCGUCGCUCAUACUGCCGGAGAGAACGAAACAAACAGAAGUAGAAGUUGCAGUUUGUAACGUGAAGCAAUUCUACGCUUGUAUGAAGUCAUAUCAGUUGGAAAUCACACAUUACGAUCAAACCCCAGUUGGCAGUGCAGCGGUCGCCGACGUGGCAGAGUGCGGGAAGGGGAAUCAGAGGAGAAGUAAGAGGUUGCAGCAUGAGAUCAUAGGAGUCACACUGAGGCGCAUGCACUGAAAUGACCCUGACCUCUAACACCUUUGCUCUUGCAUGAGAGAACACCUUUUUGUGGCUUUGGAUGGAAGAAGCGAGUGUAGGAGAAGAGAAAUGAAGAGCAUGGUGCCGUCCUUCACCAUUAUUAUCGGGUUUUUGGAAGGGGCUCUGCAAUGGCACAAAAAAAGGUCCUCUUUGAAAAGAAGGUUUUCAGAUUCGGACCCCUUGAGAACAGAAUGAUUAAUUUAGCACAAGGAAUAAUACUUUGGAUGAUAAAGGGAAUACAUUUAUCUUUUUGCUUUCAUCCUGACUGUGUGCGGGAGAGCCCAGGAAACCUUGAGGGAAAUUGAACCGUACAGAUUCAGUCUGGAAUUCUUUCAAAUGGUUCCAAAGCCAUGAGAGUGCGCUGGAUCAUCUCUGGUUUAGCAUCCACCAGAUCCAGUCUGUAUCCAGAUCAGAGGGUCACUGCAGUCACCCGGAUCCAGUACGUAUCCAGCCCAGAUGGUGGAUCAGCACCUAGAAAGGACCUCUACAGCCCUGAAAGACAGCGGAGGCCUGGACAACUAGAUGAGCCGCAGAGACAGAUCCCCUGUGAAGACCUUGUCUCAGACGACCAUCAGGACAAGACCACAGGAAACAGAUGAUUCUUCUGCACAAUCUGACUUUGCUGCAGCCUGGAAUUGAACUGCUGGUUUCAUCUGGCCAGAGGAGAACUGGCCCCCC
Long non-coding RNA from Cyprinus carpio carpio, 965 nucleotides. The record is from Ensembl. Lineage: Eukaryota; Metazoa; Chordata; Actinopteri; Cypriniformes; Cyprinidae.